AACAUCGAUAUACGCGCGUCUCACUUCACAAAAACUAUCGCUCAUCACUAACAAACAAAACAAACCAAAAUGUAAACAAUGCAAACAAUUAUAAUGGACGGGAAAAAUGUGGUGUUUUGGUGGCUAUCGAUGACUUAGCCAAGCACGCCCACCCAACCAAGGAUGCCCCGGAGGAUUCUGCGGAGGCAUCACCCAUAAUCAGCUGGUCCAAGUCACUCCUCGCGACUAGGACAGCUCCAUCUCCCCCACAGCGACAACUCACUCGUACAUUUCAGUCUUCAUGUACAUUUAAUAUCCACACCUUUACGACCAAACUUGGCCGCCGUCUACAAAUCUACGCGGUCAAAGCGGAAGAUUACCUUCCUUUGGCAAAGGCUACAGGCGCCGCGGAAAUAAUGUUCCACCAGACAGGUAUUGGUGGAACUCGCAGUGGAACGAGGCGCAAAAAAAGGGCACACACUAGGUAUGUGUCGGGUCACCUAAUCCUGAGGAGCUCCUAGGGAAAAGAAGGGACAGGCCAAACGGCAACAACGAGGACAAGAAUUGAGGUUUUCGGGUCUAAGUCCGGAUAAAUUUACAGGUCAACAGCCACUUCUGGGCUAGGCGCCGGGCUAACUAUGCCCCGACUACAGUGUACUCUGCCGGAGGCCAGCAGCAAUAAUGGCCAGGAACACUACGAGGAGCGGUGGCGAAGGCGAGCCUGAUGGCGGUGCCUCUCAACGCCGCGCGAAAUGGGCAGCCAAGGGGACUUAACAGCCAGGAACGGACUCACCGGCGUAUUUUAUAAAAGCGUUGGCGGCGUCCGAGGAAGGCUAGUUAUGCUGGUCUGCUUCGUAUCGCUGGGUCGAACGAAGAAAUUUGCCUAUCAUGCCUAUAUCUCGCCAUAUUCCCUUCGCCUCUCUCGAAAUUGGGUCAUUGGACAUAUCAAGGCCAUCCUAGCCAUACCCAGAGCGAACCGGGCUAGUUUAAAUAGCUAGAUAGCCAAGACAUCAGCAGAAGGGGGCGCCACUCCAGUAGGAGUUGCCACCCUCCUACUUUAUCGAUAGCCCUACCAAAAACGAAUACCUCCUUCUUAAUUC
Molecule: long non-coding RNA, 1079 nt
Organism: Drosophila rhopaloa
Lineage: Eukaryota; Metazoa; Arthropoda; Insecta; Diptera; Drosophilidae
Exons: 5
Source: RefSeq, a predicted model, not a curated record